GCUGGGCAUAGUAGUGCAUACCUGUAAUCCCAGUGACUCUGGAGGCUGAGGCAAGAGAAUCACAAGUUUGAGGAUAGCCUGGGCAAUUUAGUGAUACCUUAUCUCAA
This 107-nucleotide small RNA is filed under the name Marmota monax (woodchuck). The record is from RNAcentral. Lineage: Eukaryota; Metazoa; Chordata; Mammalia; Rodentia; Sciuridae.